Molecule: ribosomal RNA, 667 nt
Filed under: alpha proteobacterium IMCC14883
Lineage: Bacteria; Pseudomonadati; Pseudomonadota; Alphaproteobacteria
Description: bacterial SSU rRNA
Rfam family: Bacterial small subunit ribosomal RNA
Source: RNAcentral
GGCGGCACGCCUAACACAUGCAAGUCGAACGAAGUAGCAAUAUUUAGUGGCAGACGGGUGAGUAACAUGUAGGUAUCUGCCCUUUGGCCUGGAAUAACACGAGGAAACUUGUGCUAAUACCGGAUAAGUCUUUACGGAGAAAGCUUUAUGCACCAUUGGAUGAGCCUGCACUUGAUUAGUUUGUUGGUGGGGUAAUGGCCUACCAAGACUGUGAUCAAUAGCUGAUUUGAGAGGAUGAUCAGCCACAUUGGGAGUGAGACACGGCCCAAACUCUUACGGGAGGCAGCAGUGGGGAAUCUUGCACAAUGGAGGAAACUCUGAUGCAGCGAUGCCGCGUGAGUGAAGAAGGCCCUUGGGUUGUAAAGCUCUUUCGUCGGGGAAGAAAAUGACUGUACCCGAAUAAGAAGGUCCGGCUAACUUCGUGCCAGCAGCCGCGGUAAUACGAAGGGACCUAGCGUAGUUCGGAAUUACUGGGCUUAAAGAGUUCGUAGGUGGUUGAAAAAGUUAGUGGUGAAAUCCCAGAGCUUAACUCUGGAAUUGCCAUUAAAACUUUUCAGCUAGAGUAUGAUAGAGGAAAGCAGAAUUUCUAGUGUAGAGGUGAAAUUCGUAGAUAUUAGAAAGAACACCAAUGGCGAAGGCAGCUUUCUGGAUCUAUUACUGACACUGA